Molecule: ribosomal RNA, 406 nt
Filed under: uncultured bacterium
Lineage: Bacteria
Description: bacterial SSU rRNA
Rfam family: Bacterial small subunit ribosomal RNA
Source: RNAcentral
AACACUUGACAUGUUCGUCGCGACUCUAAGAGAUUAGAGUUUUCGGUUCGGCCGGACGAAACACAGGUGCUGCAUGGCUGUCGUCAGCUCGUGUCGUGAGAUGUUGGUUUAAGUCCCGCAACGAUCGCAACCCUCACUUUUAGUUGCCAUCAUUAAGUUGGGCACUCUGAAAGAACUGCCAGUGAUAAGCUGGAGGAAGGUGGGGAUGACGUCAAGUCCUCAUGGCCCUUACGUGUUGGGCUACACACGUGCUACAAUGGCAUCUACAACAGGAAGCAAAACGGCAACGUUAAGCAAAUCCCGAAAAGAUGCCUCAGUUCGGAUUGCACUCUGCAACUCGAGUGCAUGAAGCUGGAAUUACUAGUAAUCGUGGAUCAGCGUGCCACGGUGAAUGCGUUCCCGGGUC